AGUUUACACAUAUUUUAAUAACUGCAUGCAUUUUCCUGGCACCCACACUACCAACAAAGCAGCUACUAUGCUAGUAGCGGCUAAUGUAGCUCUGAGCAUCUUGCCUCAAUAAUCAAAAGUGACUCAAUUUCAGCUGUUUAUGUGCUUUUUAGAAUUGUUUUACUGUAUAGCUAGGUUGGGUCUUGGCUUUUUUUUCUUAAAAGGUUAGUUUUCAAGGUUUAAUAGUAACCAUAUGUACCACUUUAGCUCAAUAAUGGUAUUGAGGUAUAUGCUAGCAGCUAUACCUGAAUGUUGUUGUGUUUGGAAGAUAGAUGUAUAAAGAAAAAGAGAUUUUAGUCUAUUUUCUAAAAUUUCUUGGUUAAAUUAUGGUUCAAAUAAAAUUAACCAAAUUUAAUUGCAGUUCAUACAAACUACAAAAUUAUUAUCAGUCAUCAGAGGUAGUAUCAGCCCUACUUACUGUUUUUGUUUAAGAGAGUGACAAGCAUAUACUGUGUUAUGUAACCAUGUGUGCAGAUGAAGCAGGCCCAGGGUGCCAACGGUAUUAUUUACCAGACCUGAUUCACACACACUUCAAACACACCAUUGCGACAUCUGUCAGUUCCCAUGCUGUGCCAACACAUUUUUUUUUAUUUGUUUGUUUAGUUCAGAGGAGGAGGGAGUCCUUCAGGUCAGGCCAGUAAAAUGUGAGAACUGGUUCCUGCCCUGCUUCUGCAAGGGCCUCCUCCUGAUGGGACGUGCCGGGAACACCUCACCCAGGAGGCGCCAGAGCAGCGGCUCUACUCUGAGCCCCUCCCGGAUGGCCGAACUUCUCACCCUAUCUGUAAGGGAGAGGCCAGCCAACCUUCGGAGGAAGUCCAUUUCACCCGCUUCUAUCCGGGAUCUUGUUCUUAUUACUAAACAAUUAAAUAAACUUACUAAACAAUUUAAUGAAUGCUACACAUGUGAUAUAUCUAUGUAAAUAAAAAAAAUAUACUGAAAAUAAUGGCAAGUAUAGUAAAAUGGGUUUCAAAAGCACAAAUAACGAUUUACAAAUUCAAAGACAAGACGUAAAAAAACAAGAUGCUCUGCUUCAGUUCAUCAUUUACGGUACUCUGAGGUAAUUAUGGGUCACUCCAUCUCAAAUCAGCACAAAUCAUGCAGAUCUACGAUUUGUAUUAAAAAAUCGAGGUCCAAAGGUUGGACAUACAUAAUGGCUGUUGUGAAAAUUUUGGUUCUUUGGAGUACUUUUCAAAAUUUUCACUGGUCUUUCUUACCAUUGCAGCGAAUCAGGGUCUGUUUGGGGACAGAUGAAAUGAGCUGUAUGUGUCUUUAUAAAUGAGUAAUACAUUUUAACAAAGGCCCUGAAUCCCCCUGUUGAGAACCUAACAUCUUCUGUCAAGCAAGACUGGGAAAUACAUUUCUUGCAAAGCUAGUGCAGUCGCUCUGCUCGG
Astatotilapia calliptera (eastern happy) is the source of this 1430-nucleotide long non-coding RNA. The record is from Ensembl. NCBI's taxonomy places the organism in Eukaryota, Metazoa, Chordata, Actinopteri, Cichliformes, Cichlidae.